UGGGGAAUAUUGCACAAUGGGCGCAAGCCUGAUGCAGCCAUGCCGCGUGUAUGAAGAAGGCCUUCGGGUUGUAAAGUACUUUCAGCGGGGAGGAAGGCGAUGUGGUUAAUAACCGCGUCGAUUGACGUUACCCGCAGAAGAAGCACCGGCUAACUCCGUGCCAGCAGCCGCGGUAAGACGGAGGGUGCAAGCGUUAAUCGGAAUUACUGGGCGUAAAGCGCACGCAGGCGGUCUGUCAAGUCGGAUGUGAAAUCCCCGGGCUCAACCUGGGAACUGCAUCCGAAACUGGCAGGCUUGAGUCUCGUAGAGGGGGGUAGAAUUCCAGGUGUAGCGGUGAAAUGCGUAGAGAUCUGGAGGAAUACCGGUGGCGAAGGCGGCCCCCUGGACGAAGACUGACGCUCAGGUGCGAAAGCGUGGGGAGCAAACA
RNAcentral lists this ribosomal RNA (427 nucleotides) under uncultured bacterium. RNAcentral describes it as "partial 16S ribosomal RNA". It matches the Rfam family "Bacterial small subunit ribosomal RNA", at positions 355 to 774 of the family's 1533-position model. The record is from RNAcentral.